ACAGAACAGUCACUUCUGAGCUGGGCUGUCAGAAGAUUGUUGGUGACCACAGAGAGGCAUGCAGCGGACUCCAUCCAACUGUCACUAUUCCAUGCCACUCAAGAGCAAGCCACCUCAGUGCACAGUGGUCUCAGCAGCUUCCCCACAGCCUUCCCUCUCACAUGGCCUCUGUCUGUUCUCAGUUCCUCAGGAGGAUGAGAUCUGCACACUUCAUUGCCUGGAUGUGACGCCUUUUUACAAAACAAAGACAACCCCCAUGGCGGCGGCAGCACUUGGCAGAGCACAGACAAAUUUUGUCAACUAUUAAUAUUUUCAAAGCAAUUUAUAACAAAAACCUUCAUACUGACACAACUGAGUACUACAAAUUUCCUAUCAUAAAAUCCGUGCGCAC
This 391-nucleotide long non-coding RNA is filed under the name Rattus norvegicus (Norway rat). RNAcentral's name for it is "long non-coding RNA NONRATT006260". Lineage: Eukaryota; Metazoa; Chordata; Mammalia; Rodentia; Muridae. The record is from RNAcentral.